Helianthus annuus (common sunflower) is the source of this 578-nucleotide long non-coding RNA. RefSeq lists it as uncharacterized. The transcript has 2 exons. NCBI's taxonomy places the organism in Eukaryota, Viridiplantae, Streptophyta, Magnoliopsida, Asterales, Asteraceae. The record is from RefSeq and is a predicted model, not a curated record.
CAGAUGUGGACUAGUGUCUUCAAGGGUCUUCUACCCUCUUCUUCUCUACUCUUUCAAAACAAAUCUAAUAACCCUAGCAUUCAGCCGACGACACAUCGAUCUCCACAUCCAUCCAGCUGACACAUCGAUCUCCACCUCCAUCGCCGUCGAAAACUCAUCUCCAUCGAUCUCCAUCUUCAUCUCCGUCGAAGCCCUCAACUCCAUCGAUCUCCAUCUUCAUCUCCGACGAAGCCCUCACCUCCAUCAAUCCCAUCUUCAUCUCUGACGAAACCCUCAUCUCCAUCGAUCUCCAUCUUCAUCUCCGACGAAGCCCUCAUCUCCACCUUCAGAGGCGGUGUAACCGAUCCGGUUAAAAAGUUGCGGUCACAUACCUGAUACAUAUAAUACCAGUAUGAGCAGAAGAAUGAGGGUGAAAACCAAAGAGGAGAAUGUUUUUAGAUAGGUUACACUUUACAUUGACACACUAAUGUUUGUACCUUCUAUACUUUCAGUAGUAGAAAUUGAUACCAAUUUACUUUUAGUAGUAGAAACUGAUACCAAUAUUAUGUUUCAGAUGGAAUACAUUGACUAUUCUAUUA